UAACGCGAAAAAUUAGACGAACGAGGCUCCCUCCCUCCCUCAAACCCUAGCUGCCCCUCGUCUCCCCGCCUCCAGCCGCACCCGCCGCCGCACCCCAAUCCCCGAUCUGUCGUCUCCACCUCACGACGACGCGGUUCACCCGCCGAUGACCCCCCUCCUCCUGCCCUCUCUCCGACCUCCCUCUUCGCACGACACUCAACCCUGCACGCACGACCUCCCCCUCCUCCUCCUCCCGCGCCAUUCGCUGCCCCGCAAACUCCGGUAGAACUCCGGCAGCCGCUAUCCGCCCUUCGCCGCGGGAGCCUCCGUAGGAGCCGCUCACCGCAGGAGCCGCCGCCCGCGGAAGCCGCAGCCCAAGCAGCCGCGGGAGCCGCUCGCCGCUGCAGCCGCCGCCCGCGGGAGCCACUCACCGCGGGAGCCUCCACGGGUCGCCGCUAGCCGGGGCCGCCGCGGGUCGCCCUUUGCCGCAGGUCGUCGCCGGAGCCGCCCCGCCCCUGGAUCCGCUCGCCGCCGGAGCCGCCCGUCGCGCUCCCACUCAGCUUGGCCUCCGCCCCGCCGCCCCCGGUCCUCAAGCAAGUAAGUUUGCCUUGCGUUCUGAAGCUCAACUAUUCCCAAUCUGCAGACUGGCUACCUUAGAGUUCUGAUGAACCGUCAAUUGGAUGGACUAGUAAAGCACGAGGGAGAAAGAUGUGGUUGUGUCCAGACUCCAAAGAGGGCAAAAUAGUUCAAUAAUUUCCGAAAUUGAUGGUAUUGCCUGAGAUAUGAUGCUUGCACACAAGAGAAGUUCGUGCUUGUGAUUGCAAAAUUGGUGUAUAUGUAAAGAUCUUGUCCUGGUUUCAUGAAUUGGAUGGGAUUUUUGGAAAGUCUCACUUGGGCAGGACAACUAUGGUCUUGAUUAUAUGUAUGUUGACUUUCCCACUUUUCUUUUGAGUAGGCUACUUCAAUUUUAGGUGAGCUGGCAGGGAUCACAAGCAUCGGUGUUGCAUUCCUGAAUCUCACAUACACAAGUAAGUAAUAUUCUCCCUCACAUAAAGUCCUUUAUUUGCAGUAUAGUGUUUUGCUCACUUUCUUUCUAGCUAGCUGCUGCAUUCAUUCCUUUCCACGGCACCGUAUAAUUCAUACCUCAGAGAGGUCAUUUUUGUGCAUGAUGUUCUGGUGUAACUACCAUUAUCUUUACUGGAGCAGAGCAACAUUUAAUAGGAAUUCCACCAUAAAUAUUUACCCAGAUACAACAUUCUUCUCUGGAAUUUGAGUUUUUUCCAGAAGGUUUAGGAUCUAAGGAUGAGCUAUCAGUGGUAUUGAUUAUACAACGAGUUUGUACAAAAUGUUCGCUGGUGUUGGGUGUUUACCUUUUAUCACUUCUAUAUCCCCUUAUUGUGUUUCUCUGUUUCUAGAAAGUAGGCCAUUUGUUCCAGGCUUUCAAGUUUGUGCCAUAACCUGAAGGAGAAAGAGUUCAUUAUUGACCAGCAGUUAAAAGCAGGUUCAGUUUUUUACCUCAUUUUCCAUCCCCCCAGUAGCACUUUCUGUUAGUUCGAACAAUAUCUCAAUGCAUUAUUUACACACCUAGCUUGUGCUCUGUGACCAGAAUUGGUAAACUGUAGCCGUGAUAGUACUACACUGUAUUCAGAAAUAGCAGGAGGAGAUAAAGCUAGGUGUUGCAUAUAGGCCGGUGGUGAACCCUUUUAGAGCUGACCUUCCUUCAAAGUUGGAUAUCAUCUACAGUAACCUCACCGGAUCCAUAGAUCAACUGAACAAACAAAAGGCACUUAAGAUCUUUACUGGUAUCCAGAAUGUGUUGUCUGAUCAUCUAAGCGAACUGGCCCACUAUGCUAAGGAAUUAGGACAGUUCAGUUACUUGAUCGGACAGUUUAGCAUGCAGAAAUUGGAAGUAGGCUUAGAAAAACACCACCAAGCUUGAAAGCAGAAAAAGAUGCACACCCUCACCAUUAUUAUCUUCCUGUGAUAAUUUUAGGCUUGUACCAGGAAACUUGAAGAGGCAAUUUUAGUCGGUGGUGUGCUUUAAAAUUUCAUAUUACUGUUCGGUGUUUCUCCAUAAUCGUGUCUUCUAUUUCUCCAUAACCGAGCCGCACGACCUCCGCCUUGACGAGCUGCUGGACCUAGGCCUCGACGAGACACCGGACCUCGGCCUCCCUCCGGUUCAUGCUGGAACAAUUUUGUAGAGACAAAUUGGAAGAGUGCAGCUGCCCUGGCUCAUGCAAUUGGAAGAAUUUAUGUUUUUUUCUACUCAGAAAGGAAGCUAUUUUUUUCUGGUCGUAGAUAGAAAGGAUGCAACUUUGUCAGGGGUAGUAGAUACAAAGUUUUCAGUGUCUACAACAUAUAAACCGGAAGCCGUGCUUCCGGUUUCAACAUAUAAACUUUUUUGGUCAUACAAUCUGAAAUUUUAGCAUUUCACAUAGACAACCUAUCAUUUGUGGUUCACCACAUUUACAUGCUCUGAUUCCCACGCUCAUGUGAAUAAGUAUAUGACAGAAAUUUCAAAGGAUCGUGUCAGUUAGAAUUAUCACAUGGGUACCCAUUUUUUUCCAUGAAAAUACCUCAUGCAAUGCUAUGUUCCAUAUUUUCUACAUUAUGAUAAGUUCGUAAUUUAUAUAUUGUUUUGACAUUAUAUUUUGUACUGAGACAUGCAGCCAUAUAUUCUAUUUCUGCUUCAAUAUAUUCUCCCAUGUGCUACUGAGACAUGCAGCCAUAUAGACAAUUGGCCCCCUUUUUUUGUACUGAGACAUGCAGCCAUAUAGACAAUUGGCCCCCUUUUUUUGUGAUAAUGAACUGCGUGAUUUAUGAUAGUCCUUGAUGAAAUGCCACUAAGUUAGUUUACUAUCUCAAGUCAGAUUCGAUAAUAAUUUAUUUUAUAUUGCCAUCUUUCUUGAUUACGUACCAUGUCGUUGCAGAUGAUCUCAGGUAAUCUGAUGCAUAAAAACAAAUUUUUGCUUAUUGUACAUGUCAUUAAUGAUAUAUAUGAGAUGUGAGAGAGACAGAAGCUAAUAUCUUGGUAGUAUAAAUCAUUAUUGGAAUAUGAUGAAGGUUACAAAAGAAUGUUUUAAUAUAACAAGAUGCAAGUACUUGAUUUAAAUGAUGACUCACUUUGCUUCUUUUUUUAGUAGAGCGUGCAGUAGGCCAGUCGACAGACUGCCGCUAGCUUCUAGAGUUCCAAUACAACUCUACAACUCCACGAGUAUUUAUUGAUUAUCUCUCUUCUGAUUUGUUGUUCUUUCUUAAUUGUCUUCCUCUAUCUGGUACCAGAUAUUUGCAGCAAAGUAUUUGUAAAAUUAUGUUUACUUAGAUCUAAUAUCUUGUUUCUUAAUUGCCUCCUUUUAUCCAUAACCAGAUGUUUAUAGCAGUUUCUGUAAAAUUGUGUUUACUUAUCUCGCGGAAAAACCUGUAACUCUCUUAAUUGUCAAGGGCACAUGUAGAAGCCAGUUUUCUACUUCAUGGUUAGAAUUGACUUCUUUUCUUGUAUUUGAAUCUAGGUACCAUGUUGCGAUUAAGAAAAACCUAGGUCUUAAUUGAUUGCUACUACUAUCAGUGCAAUUCUUUUUCUCAAAUCUCUUAACUAGAUUUAUUUAUAGUAGUUCAGUUCUUAAUGGAUACAUGUCGUUGUGCUUCAGACAUGUUGUGUGUGUGUGUUG
Molecule: long non-coding RNA, 3647 nt
Organism: Aegilops tauschii subsp. strangulata
Lineage: Eukaryota; Viridiplantae; Streptophyta; Magnoliopsida; Poales; Poaceae
Source: RefSeq, a predicted model, not a curated record